RNAcentral lists this transfer RNA (98 nucleotides) under Acidobacteriota bacterium. RNAcentral's name for it is "tRNA-Sec". It matches the Rfam family "Selenocysteine transfer RNA". The record is from RNAcentral. Lineage: Bacteria; Pseudomonadati; Acidobacteriota.
GGAAGCGCGGAGUAUCCGGUGAUGCUCCCGGUCUUCAAAACCGGAGGGAGGCAGUUCAUCCUGUCUCUGGUGUGUUCGACUCACACGCGCUUCCGCCA